This 253-nucleotide unclassified non-coding RNA is filed under the name fungal sp. RNAcentral's name for it is "partial internal transcribed spacer region". The stretch from base 1 to 46 matches the Rfam family "Eukaryotic small subunit ribosomal RNA", at positions 1786 to 1831 of the family's 1831-position model. The record is from RNAcentral. Lineage: Eukaryota; Fungi.
AAGUCGUAACAAGGUUUCCGUAGGUGAACCUGCGGAAGGAUCAUUAAAAAAUGACAAAGAGACAAAGACUAAGUUGUAUUUUACAUCUGUAAUUUACAAUGAAGAAUUUGUCGGUCGCUUGGGUUUAUCCCUUGCACUGACCUUUGUGAACUGUAAAGUUUUUUACAAACUAAGUCUUACUUAAAUCUCAGCCUGAAGUAAAUAAUCUAAAAUAAAUUAUAUACAACUUUCAACAACGGAUCUCUUGGCUCCU